UGGGUGACCGCCUGGGAAUACCCCGUGUCGUAGGCU
This 36-nucleotide ribosomal RNA is filed under the name Acropora pruinosa. The record is from RNAcentral. Lineage: Eukaryota; Metazoa; Cnidaria; Anthozoa; Scleractinia; Acroporidae.